This 460-nucleotide long non-coding RNA is filed under the name Pan troglodytes (chimpanzee). RNAcentral's name for it is "lncRNA (ENSPTRG00000053070.1)". Lineage: Eukaryota; Metazoa; Chordata; Mammalia; Primates; Hominidae. The record is from RNAcentral.
AUGCAUACAAUACCUAACCCUCCCAAUUAUACCCACAGAGAAAGCAAGACAUUGAGAGGUUUGGUAGUAUGCCCAUACUUGCAUGUCUGUGCACCAAGAAGCAAGAAGCCAAAGACAGCUGUUUCUGACUACAAAGACCAUUCUCACUUUACCAUAACAUGCAACAACUUGGACUAUCAGAGAGGCUGCAACUUGCCCAUGCUGAUGAGCCCAGAGAUGAACCCAGAAGCUCCAUGUCCACACUCCAUGCUGGAAGCUCCUUCCUUAGGGUUGCAUUACCCUGAGUCAGCAGCAGGAAGCCAGAGAGCAGUAAUGGUAAUGAUGUUAACUUAAAUCUUGCUUAACACGUGCCAGGCAUAGUUCUAAGCCCUAAACUCGUUUAAUCUUUCCAAUAACUAUGAGGUUAGUACUAUUGUUAUCCUCAUUGUAAUACUGAGGGAAAGAGACUUUAAAUACUUUG